This 267-nucleotide unclassified non-coding RNA is filed under the name uncultured fungus. RNAcentral's name for it is "partial contains 5.8S ribosomal RNA, internal transcribed spacer 2, and large subunit ribosomal RNA". Lineage: Eukaryota; Fungi. The record is from RNAcentral.
AACGCACAUUGCGCCCCUUGGCAUUCCGAGGGGCAUGCCUUUUCGAGCGUCGAUAGAGGAAAUCAAGCCACGCUUGGUUAUUGAGUGCCCAAAUUACACGGGUGCUUUAAAUUAGAGAUGAGGCGGGGCUUAGCGCAGGCACGGCCAGGUGUAGUACAUCGUGAACGAACGCCCGGUGAGCUGCCUUGCGUGCUCGAGGCCUUCUCGGCCCAAUAACCGCAUGUCAAGUUGAACCUCGGAUAAGGUAGGGAUACCCGCUGAACUUAA